Molecule: ribosomal RNA, 253 nt
Filed under: uncultured bacterium
Lineage: Bacteria
Description: partial 16S ribosomal RNA
Rfam family: Bacterial small subunit ribosomal RNA
Source: RNAcentral
UACGUAGGGAGCAAGCGUUGUUCGGAUUUACUGGGCGUAAAGGGCGCGUAGGCGGCGUGACAAGUCACUUGUGAAAUCUCCGGGCUUAACCCGGAAAGGUCAGCCGAUACUGCGGGGCUAGAGUGCAGAAGGGGCAACUGGAAUUCUCGGUGUAGCGGUGAAGUGCGUAGAUAUCGAGAGGAACACCUGCGGCGAAGGCGGGUUGCUGGGCUGACACUGACGCUGAGGCGCGAAAGCUAGGGGAGCGAACGGG